UUCAUGUAAGGACUGCAGUUCCAGGAGAUGCACAAUCUCAGUCUUCUCCAAAUCAGGCGGUUUAAUUUCUAAAUACAAGAAUUUCAAAUGGGGAGGCCUGAGUAAUCGGUCAAGUUUAUGAAAUCCUGCACUAUACUGUUCAAGUGGAAGUGAAAUGCUUCUCUAUGAGAAGCAUUUUAUUGGGUUGAGCAAAGCAUUGAUAAGAGAAGGGUUGCCACUGGGUAAAAAGGCAACAUGGCGGCGUCAUUGUGGUGAAACUAAACACUUAUGAUCUCUCAAAAUAAAUUGCC
Molecule: long non-coding RNA, 290 nt
Organism: Pelobates fuscus (common spadefoot toad)
Lineage: Eukaryota; Metazoa; Chordata; Amphibia; Anura; Pelobatidae
Exons: 3
Source: RefSeq, a predicted model, not a curated record